AAACCCAAUCAUGCAUUCAUAAUGGCAUCAUCAACCAUUAUAUACAUAUAUAGAUUAACAAAUGAAUCUUAACAUUUCACAUCAAGUAUUCAUAUACACAUAAUUAGACCUUGACCAUUAGCAGAGUGACUCUGAGCACGGUUGCUAACAUCUAAUGUCAUGGUAAACUUACCGAGCAAUGGAUAGGGAGGAGCACCUC
RNAcentral lists this long non-coding RNA (199 nucleotides) under Theobroma cacao (cacao). Its description in RNAcentral is "long non-coding RNA (TCAC_LNC001196)". The record is from RNAcentral. Lineage: Eukaryota; Viridiplantae; Streptophyta; Magnoliopsida; Malvales; Malvaceae.